UUAAAUUGAAGAGUUUGAUCAUGGCUCAGAUUGAACGCUGGCGGCAGGCCUAACACAUGCAAGUCGAGCGGUAACAGGAAGCAGCUUGCUGCUU
Molecule: ribosomal RNA, 94 nt
Filed under: Salmonella enterica
Lineage: Bacteria; Pseudomonadati; Pseudomonadota; Gammaproteobacteria; Enterobacterales; Enterobacteriaceae
Description: partial 16S ribosomal RNA
Rfam family: Bacterial small subunit ribosomal RNA
Source: RNAcentral